Molecule: long non-coding RNA, 1352 nt
Filed under: Glycine max (soybean)
Lineage: Eukaryota; Viridiplantae; Streptophyta; Magnoliopsida; Fabales; Fabaceae
Description: long non-coding RNA (GMAX_LNC003097)
Source: RNAcentral
UUAUAGCAGGAGUUGUCUGCGUACUUUAUUAUCCUUGCAUGGAAAUAAAAAAAUAAUGGCAUACAUUAACAUAAGCUGUUAAACAUUAAACAGUCACUACAGCACAACAGCUCCAUUAAUGCCAGCCAAAUGAUCCAUGAUGCAUCAUUGCAUCUCCUCUCUUUUUUUGGCCCUUGUUCCAAAGAGUAAAAAAAUAGUACAUGCAAUUAUAAUUAAAAAGUUUCUUCACCAUCAAUGAAUUAAACUUUAUUUCUAAUUUACUUAGACAGAACAAAAAUGAAAAAAACCUUUCCACUGUCUAUACAUAAAAGCUAAAUUUUAUUCCAAAAACAUUAUGGAAUUGGAAACACGUUAGCCAAAAUUAUUUUCUUUGAGAUAUUUCGUGGUAACAUAACUUACAUUCUUACAUAUGGUUAUUAACAAUACACCAGAAGAAACUGGUCCAUGAAAAUACGUCACAAACUUUCACAAGAAAAGAAAUGGGAGAAAGAACAUGUAAAUAAGUAAAAAACUCAAAAAAGAAAAAAAUUAUAUAUACACAGAUUACAGAGAGAGCUUGAAAUAAACAAGGCAAAAAAAAAAAAAAAGAUCCCUCAGAACUAUAAAUUUCCACUUAUCUGUUAUGCAAAGGAUUAGGACCAGUGUAGAUUAUCCUUUUCUCAUCACCAAGAACUGCUUCACCAUCACCUUCACCUGUGUUCUGUCGUGAUUUUCCUUUAAAGGGGCUAAGAUUUGACAAAGGCUGAGUUCUAAAGCUUUGAGAUUUUGCAUACCCAUUAGCAGUAGAUGAUGAGAUUUUGAACAAGAACAGAAUCAACAGUAGAAUUGAGAAACAAGCCUGACUCAUCAGCCUCAUGCUCUCAACAAGGCACAGAUCGUGCAUGGAAAACUUAUAUAAUUGGCUCAAACCCCCGUAAAGAAAGAAACAGAUUAAACUAGUAGCUUCUUUUGGAUCUGAUUCAAAAAGGGUGUCACUAAAAAUACUUAGAAACAAAAAAUAAUAAAGCUUAAGAGGAAGGGAAGCAAAGUGGUACUAGUAGUUAAUUUGGAGGAGGGUGUGAUGUGUGUGUCUGAUGUGGUGGUCCUUUUUGGUCAGAGUGUGAUUUUGGCUAACUUGUAUGCGGAUUGGAUUAUUUUGAAUUGGAUGGUGUGAGUAACCUUGAAGUGUGAGCUCUGAAAAUGAGUAGAGUCAAUGAAUGUGCAUAGGGGUUGGUGCCUUAAUGCAAAUAAAUAUGGUGCAGAAUGUGUUUGGAUGCCUUUUUAAUUACUACUUGGGAAACAACUGUGGACCAGAGAGACAGAAGAGAGAGCCUUUGCUGCUUCUGUUGGAGCUUGCUUAGGUGAUGUUGCUG